This 131-nucleotide small RNA is filed under the name uncultured Butyrivibrio sp. RNAcentral describes it as "Clostridiales-1 RNA". It matches the Rfam family "Clostridiales-1 RNA", at positions 16 to 159 of the family's 166-position model. The record is from RNAcentral. Lineage: Bacteria; Bacillati; Bacillota; Clostridia; Lachnospirales; Lachnospiraceae.
AAAGUUACAAAAAAUCACGCUGGCGUGAAAUUUUUUGCAACCUUGAAGACCGAACAAACAUGAGGAAGUAGCAUGAUAAUGCGGAUUCCGAAUGUUUGUAGGAUUGUGGGAGCGUUAGCGAAGCAAUCCGU